UUCUUCAGGGCGAGGUGCGAUUCCUCACUGGCGGUAAAGUCCGCGACCCUGCUCACCCGGGCAGGCUGAAUCGGUGAAACUCCGGUACCAACAGUAUAGUCUGGAUGGAAGAAGAG
RNAcentral lists this non-coding RNA (116 nucleotides) under uncultured Oribacterium sp. Its description in RNAcentral is "FMN riboswitch (RFN element)". It matches the Rfam family "FMN riboswitch aptamer (RFN element)". Rfam says of the family: The RFN element is a highly conserved domain that is found frequently in the 5'-untranslated regions of prokaryotic mRNAs that encode for flavin mononucleotide (FMN) biosynthesis and transport proteins. This element is a metabolite-dependent riboswitch that directly binds FMN in the absence of proteins. The record is from RNAcentral. Lineage: Bacteria; Bacillati; Bacillota; Clostridia; Lachnospirales; Lachnospiraceae.